UAGCAAUACGAUGGAAAGUCUAGUGGCGAACGGGUGCUUAACACGUGGGCAACCUGUCAGGAAGUGGGGGAUAGCUCGCCGAAAGGCGAAUUAAUACCGCAUGUGAUUAGAGAGGACAUCCUUUCGAAAUUAAAGUCGGGGCAACCUGACGCUUUUUGUGGGGCCCGCGGCCUAUCAGCUAGUUGGUGGGGUAACGGCUCACCAAGGCGUUGACGGGUAGCUGGUCUGAGAGGACGACCAGCCACACUGGGACUGAGACACGGCCCAGACACCUACGGGUGGCAGCAGUCGAGAAUUUUUGACAAUGGGGGAAACCCUGAUCGAGCGACGCCGCGUGGAGGAUGAAGGUCUUCGGAUUGUAAACUCCUGUCAUUGGGGAACAAUGCGCAAAUAUUAACUGUAUUUGUGUUGAUAGUACCCGAAGAGGAAGAGACGGCUAACUCUGUGCCAGCAGCCGCGGUAAUACAGAGGUCUCAAGCGUUGUUCGGAUUCAUUGGGCGUAAAGGGUGCGUAGGCGGCGCGGUAAGUCGGGUGUGAAAUCUCGGAGCUUAACUCCGAAACUGCAUUCGAUACUGCCGUGCUUGAGGACUGGAGAGGAGACUGGAAUUCUCGGUGUAGCA
This 620-nucleotide ribosomal RNA is filed under the name uncultured Verrucomicrobiota bacterium. RNAcentral's name for it is "bacterial SSU rRNA". It matches the Rfam family "Bacterial small subunit ribosomal RNA", at positions 77 to 680 of the family's 1533-position model. Lineage: Bacteria; Pseudomonadati; Verrucomicrobiota. The record is from RNAcentral.